RNAcentral lists this ribosomal RNA (483 nucleotides) under uncultured bacterium. Its description in RNAcentral is "partial 16S ribosomal RNA". It matches the Rfam family "Bacterial small subunit ribosomal RNA", at positions 28 to 507 of the family's 1533-position model. The record is from RNAcentral.
GACGAACGCUGGCGGCGUGCUUAACACAUGCAAGUCGAACGCUGAAGCUCAGCUUUUGUUGGGUGGAUGAGUGGCGAACGGGUGAGUAACACGUGGGUAACCUGCCCCCUUCUUUGGGAUAACGCCCGGAAACGGGUGCUAAUACUGGAUAUUCACUGGUCUUCGCAUGGGGGUUGGUGGAAAGGGUUUUUCUGGUGGGGGAUGGGCUCGCGGCCUAUCAGCUUGUUGGUGGGGUGAUGGCCUACCAAGGCUUUGACGGGUAGCCGGCCUGAGAGGGUGACCGGUCACAUUGGGACGGAGAUACGGCCCAGACUCGGACGGGAUGCAGCAGUGGGGAAUAUUGCACAAUGGGCGCAAGACUGAUGCAGCGACGCCGCGUAAGGGAUGGAGGCCUUAGGGUUGUGAACCUCUGUCGCUCAUGGUCAAGCCGCAACAAUGGUUGUGGUGAGGGUAGUGGGUAAAGAAGCGCCGGCUAACUACGUG